GACGAACGCUGGCGGCGUGCUUAACACAUGCAAGUCGAACGGAAAGGCCCUGCUUUUGUGGGGUGCUCGAGUGGCGAACGGGUGAGUAACACGUGAGUAACCUGCCCUUGACUUUGGGAUAACUUCAGGAAACUGGGGCUAAUACCGGAUAGGAGCUCCUGCUGCAUGGUGGGGGUUGGAAAGUUUCGGCGGUUGGGGAUGGACUCGCGGCUUAUCAGCUUGUUGGUGGGGUAGUGGCUUACCAAGGCUUUGACGGGUAGCCGGCCUGAGAGGGUGACCGGCCACAUUGGGACUGAGAUACGGACCAGACUCCUACGGGAGGCAGCGGUGGGGAAUAUUGCACAAUGAGCGGAAGCCUGAUGCAGCAACGCCGCGUGCGGGAUGACGGCCUUCGGGUUGUAAACCGCUUUCGCCUGUGACGAAGCGUGAGUGACGGUAAUGGGUAAAGAAGCACCGGCUAACUACGUG
RNAcentral lists this ribosomal RNA (468 nucleotides) under uncultured bacterium. Its description in RNAcentral is "partial 16S ribosomal RNA". It matches the Rfam family "Bacterial small subunit ribosomal RNA", at positions 28 to 507 of the family's 1533-position model. The record is from RNAcentral.